GAUGAACGCUAGCGGCAGGCCUAACACAUGCAAGUCGAAGGGCAGCACGUCUUCGGAUGGUGGCGACCGGCGCACGGGUGCGUAACGCGUAUGCAACCUACCUCUUACAGUGGGAUAGCCCAGAGAAAUUUGGAUUAAUACCGCAUAGUAUACAGAUUCAGCAUUGGGACUGUAUUAAACUAUUUAUGGGUAAGAGAUGGGCAUGCGUUCUAUUAGUUAGUUGGAGUGGUAACGGCCACCCCAAGACAGCGAUAGAGUACGGGGCCCUGAGAGGGGGGAUCCCCCCACACUGGUACUGAGACACGGACCAGACUCCUACGGGAGGCAGCAGUGAGGAAUAUUGGACAAUGGGCGAGAGCCUGAUCC
Molecule: ribosomal RNA, 366 nt
Filed under: uncultured bacterium
Lineage: Bacteria
Description: bacterial SSU rRNA
Rfam family: Bacterial small subunit ribosomal RNA
Source: RNAcentral